ACACCGGCAGCCCAAGUGGUGGCCAUUUUUAUUGGGCCUAAAGCGUUCGUAGCCGGCCUGAUAAGUCUCUGGUGAAAUCCCGCAGCUUAACUGUGGGAAUUGCUGGAGAUACUAUCAGGCUUGAGGUCGGGAGAGGUUAGAGGUACUCCCAGGGUAGGGGUGAAAUCCUAUAAUCCUGGGAGGACCACCUGUGGCGAAGGCGUCUAACUGGAACGAACCGAACGGUGAGGGACGAAAGCCAGGGGCGCGAACCGGAUUAGAUACCCGGGUAGUCCUGGCCGUAAACGAUGUGGACUUGGUGUUGGGAUGGCUUCGAGCUGCCCCAGUGCCGAAGGGAAGCUGUUAAGUCCACCGCCUGGGAAGUACGGCCGCAAGGCUGAAACUUAAAGGAAUUGGCGGGG
This 401-nucleotide ribosomal RNA is filed under the name uncultured bacterium. RNAcentral's name for it is "partial 16S ribosomal RNA". It matches the Rfam family "Archaeal small subunit ribosomal RNA", at positions 473 to 873 of the family's 1478-position model. The record is from RNAcentral.